This 433-nucleotide ribosomal RNA is filed under the name uncultured bacterium. RNAcentral's name for it is "partial 16S ribosomal RNA". It matches the Rfam family "Bacterial small subunit ribosomal RNA", at positions 29 to 507 of the family's 1533-position model. The record is from RNAcentral.
AGCGAACGCUGGCGGCAGGCCUAACACAUGCAAGUCGAGCGGGCACUUCGGGGUUAGUGGCAGACGGGUGAGUAACACGUGGGAACGUACCCUUCGGUUCGGAAUAACGCUGGGAAACUAGCGCUAAUACCGGAUACUCUCUUUUGGGCAAAGGUUUACUGCCUAAGGAUGGGCCCGCGUCUGAUUAGCUAGUUGGUGGGGUAAUGGCCUACCAAGGCGACGAUCAGUAGCUGGUCUGAGAGGAUGAUCAGCCACACUGGGACUGAGACACGGCCCAGACUCCUACGGGAGGCAGCAGUGGGGAAUAUUGGACAAUGGGCGCAAGCCUGAUCCAGCCAUGCCGCGUGAGUGAUGAAGGCCUUAGGGUUGUAAAGCUCUUUUGUCCGGGACGAUAAUGACGGUACCGGAAGAAUAAGCCCCGGCUAACUUCGUG